Molecule: long non-coding RNA, 430 nt
Organism: Bubalus bubalis (water buffalo)
Lineage: Eukaryota; Metazoa; Chordata; Mammalia; Artiodactyla; Bovidae
Exons: 2
Source: RefSeq, a predicted model, not a curated record
UUUUAGACGAGAUCCGCAAUUAGGGAGAGAAAGAAACGCCCCCAGUGGCGGGCCGCAGCACUCACCGGGCCCCAGUUGCGCUCUUGGUUGAUUCCAAACGUUGGCUCCUCCUUGGUCUCUCUGUUUGGUUGGGAAGAUAAGCGUAUUAGGAGACUUGGAUAAAACUGCGAAUCCCUAGAAGGAAAGCCAUAAAAGGUUUGCUGAGCGGAGCACCGAAGUUCCCUUUUGCCCAGCAUGCUGGGAUUUGAACAGGACCCCGCUUUCCACGUUGUAGACUCCGCCGGGCCCUGGCUGCCACGCAGAGGCGGGCGUUGUGGCACCGUGCUCUCCCAGGACUGAAUUGAGCCUCUGUCUCUCUGUUCUCCCAGCCCUUUCAAUUCGCCCUGCCUGCCUUUUAUCCUUCAUAAUAAACUGGCUGUUAUUUUUCUCA